This 370-nucleotide ribosomal RNA is filed under the name Peptococcaceae bacterium. RNAcentral's name for it is "bacterial SSU rRNA". It matches the Rfam family "Bacterial small subunit ribosomal RNA", at positions 1 to 361 of the family's 1533-position model. The record is from RNAcentral. Lineage: Bacteria; Bacillati; Bacillota; Clostridia; Eubacteriales; Peptococcaceae.
UUUUUGGAGAGUUUGAUCCUGGCUCAGGACGAACGCUGGCGGCGUGCUUAACACAUGCAAGUCGAACGGAGGUUAAAUGAAAGCUUGCUGAUUUUAACCUUAGUGGCGGACGGGUGAGUAACGCGUGGAUAACCUGCCCAGUAGAUCGGGAUAACGCCGGGAAACUGGUGCUAAUACCGGAUACGCUCCUUGAACGGCAUCGUUUGAGGAGGAAAAGGGAAACCUGCUAUUGGAUGGGUCCGCGUCCCAUUAGCUAGUUGGUGGGGUAAUAGCCUACCAAGGCGACGAUGGGUAGCCGGCCUGAGAGGGUGGACGGCCACACUGGGACUGAGAUACGGCCCAGACUCCUACGGGAGGCAGCAGUGGGGAA